CCUGCGGCUGGAUCACCUCCUUAAUCGACGACAUCAGCUGCUCCAUAAGUUCCCACACGAAUUGCUUGAUUCAUUGAAGAAGACGAAAGAAGCAGCCCGAAAUUGGGUCUGUAGCUCAGUUGGUUAGAGCGCACCCCUGAUAAGGGUGAGGUCGGCAGUUCGAAUCUGCCCAGACCCACCAAUUUUGUGUGGGAAACGCCUGUAGAAAUACGGGGCCAUAGCUCAGCUGGGAGAGCGCCUGCCUUGCACGCAGGAGGUCAGCGGUUCGAUCCCGCUUGGCUCCACCACUACUGCUUCUGUUUGUAUAAAGCUUAGAAAUGAGCAUUCCAUCGUGUCGAUGGUGAAUGUUGAUUUCUAGUCUUUGACUAGUUCGUUCUUUAAAAAUUUGGGUAUGUGAUAGAAAGAUAGACUGAACGUUACUUUCACUGGUAACGGAUCAGGCUAAGGUAAAAUUUGUGAGUUCUCUUAGUUGAGAAAUUCGAAUUUUCGGCGAAUGUCGUCUUCACAGUAUAACCAGAUUGCUUGGGGUUAUAUGGUCAAGUGAAGAAGC
Molecule: transfer RNA, 550 nt
Filed under: Sphingomonas sp. SLAU-18
Lineage: Bacteria; Pseudomonadati; Pseudomonadota; Alphaproteobacteria; Sphingomonadales; Sphingomonadaceae
Description: partial contains 16S ribosomal RNA, 16S-23S ribosomal RNA intergenic spacer, and 23S ribosomal RNA
Rfam family: tRNA (bases 105-178)
Source: RNAcentral